Molecule: ribosomal RNA, 478 nt
Filed under: uncultured bacterium
Lineage: Bacteria
Description: partial 16S ribosomal RNA
Rfam family: Bacterial small subunit ribosomal RNA
Source: RNAcentral
GAUGAACGCUGGCGGCGUGCCUAACACAUGCAAGUCGAACGGAACAUUCGUUUUCGGAUGAAUGUUUAGUGGCGAACGGGUGAGUAACGCGUGAGUAACCUGCCUUUCAGAGGGGGAAAACAGCUGGAAACGGCUGCUAAUACCGCAUAAUCUAAUCGGAUGGCAUUGUGUGAAUUUCAAAGAUUUAUCGCUGAAAGAUGGAGUCGCGUCUGAUUAGGUAGUUGGUGAGGUAAUGGCUCACCGAGGCAACGAUCAGUAGCCGGACUGAGAGGUUGAACGGCCACAUUGGGACUGAGAUACGGCCCAGACUCCUAAGGGAGGCAGCAGUGGGGAAUAUUGGUCAAUGGGGGAAACCCUGAACCAGCAACGCCGCGUGAAGGAAGAAGGCUUUCGGAUUGUAAAACUCUGUCUUCAGGGACGAUAAUGACGGUACCUGAGGAGGAAGCCACGGCUAACUACGUGCCAGCCGCCGCGGUAA